UGGGGAAUAUUGGACAAUGGGCGAAAGCCUGAUCCAGCCAUGCCGCGUGUGUGAUGAAGGCCUUAGGGUUGUAAAAUCCUUUCGCCGAGGACGAUAAUGACGGUACUCGGAGAAGAAGCUCCGGCUAACUUCGUGCCAGCAGCCGCGGUAAUACGAAGGGGGCUAGCGUUGUUCGGAUUUACUGGGCGUAAAGCGCGUGUAGGCGGGUCGUUAAGUUGGGGGUGAAAUCCCGAGGCUCAACCUCGGAACUGCCUUCAAAACUGGCGACCUGGACCUAAGUAGAGGCAAGUGGAAUUGCGAGUGUAGAGGUGAAAUUCGUAGAUAUUCGCAGGAACACCAGUGGCGAAGGCGACUUGCUGGACUUAUGGUGACGCUGAGACGCGAAAGCGUGGGGAGCAAACAGGAUUAGAUACCCCCGUAGUCCCUGAGCGGGCUGGCAAGGCGCAU
RNAcentral lists this ribosomal RNA (447 nucleotides) under uncultured bacterium. Its description in RNAcentral is "bacterial SSU rRNA". It matches the Rfam family "Bacterial small subunit ribosomal RNA", at positions 355 to 825 of the family's 1533-position model. The record is from RNAcentral.